Molecule: transfer RNA, 64 nt
Filed under: Phacomorphus fratyi
Lineage: Eukaryota; Metazoa; Arthropoda; Insecta; Coleoptera; Leiodidae
Description: tRNA-Asp
Source: RNAcentral
AUAAGUUUAGUUAAAAUAUAACAUUAAAUUGUCAUUUUAAAAUUAUUAUAAAUAAUAACUUUUA